UAUUCUUUGUGUCAUUUCCAGAGAGAUAGGAAGGAAAACAUAGUAAACAUUCUUCAAUUCUGCACAAAAGCCGAGAAGGGAUUUUCUUCAAGAACCUCCCUCUGGGUCAAGGCUCUGCCAUGGCGGGGAGGCAGAGGGUGGGGGGUUAAGAAAUAUAAGGCCCAGUUCCCCGUGGAGGCGGGGGUUCGGUGAAACCAAUCCUUGGACUUAGUUCAGUGAAACCAAUCCCUUGAAUGUGGGAUGGAACCAACAUGCAACUCAGUUUGCUUUGGCUCUCACUGUGCAUUUGAGCGAAAGCAAGGGAAGCACUUCCCGUUCCCCUGGCUGAAAGCUCAGCUGACCCCGAGGCUCUUCUGGUCAUGCUUAGGUACGGCUAUGACUCCGUCUUCAACCCCCAGAAAUCCAGCAUCCUCUUGCAACUUCUUCCUGCUGACAUCCCUUUGCCCUUCUGGGAGGCCCUACAGGACUUAAAAUGACCCCCCAACCUUGGCCCUCUCUCCUGCCAUGGUCCAGUCUGAUCCACAUCUGGCCCAUGGGAAUAACUCACACAGCCCCUUCACUCAUCCCAAUGCAGUCCCUCCUGGCACAGUCCCAUGGGGGCCCACAGGUCCAAGUGGCUGCAUGGAAGCCUCCAUCACUGGGCUUGAGUCGAAGGUGGUACCUUCAGCUCCUCGGUGGGGUAGCUUACAGCAUAGCUUUGCCCUCUCUGGAAGUUUCUAUUCCCAAACUCUCCCCAUUCUCCACACUCUUUAUAUUCUUGGUGGGCUGAGGGCCCUGAGUGCUAUGCAACUGGUUCCCCAUUAUUUCCUUUGUAAAUACUACAUAUGGGAGUCUGUCUCACGUUCAGUUUGCUAUCUGAUAUUGUGGUAGCCUGCUUCCACGAUGGCCCCUCAUUGUCACCACCUCCUGGUAUUCACAUGGUUGUGUCUCCUCCCUCCCUUAACAGGGCCGACCCUUGUAGCCACUUGCUAUUGCAGAGCUGAUGGCAUGCAUCUUCUGAGGCUAGGUCAUUGUUGUGUGUUGCAUGAUGUCCCCCCAGAAGAUAUGUUGCAGCCCUAACCCCUAGGGCCUAUAAAUGUGACCUUUUCUGGAACUAGUCUUCGCAGCUGUCAGCAAGGGUUGUUCUUGACUAGAGUGGACCCUACAUCCACUGACUGGUAUCCUCAUAAGGAGAGAGAGACACAGAGUAGACAGACACAAGGGAGAAGGCCGUGUGAAGAUGGAGACAGAGAUUGGAAUGAUACAGCCACAAGCCAAGAAACAUCUGCGGCCAUCAGAAGCUGGAAGAGCUCUCACCAGAGGCUGAGCAGAUGCUGAGGCCAUGCUUUUUGAUUUUCCCAGCCAACAGAAUUGUGAACUGAAUAAACCUCUCUUCUUUACAAAUUACCCAGUCUCAGGUAUCCUGUUAUGGCAACACAAAAUGGACUAAGACAGGAUGUCGCUAUCAAUCACGCUUCGACUGAGUACAGCCAAACCAGGAUACUCAGGGAAUUGGAACCUGUUACCAGACUUCCAUUUAGUACAGACACAGCGCCAGGGGGCUGAGCAUUCUUCGGCAACACGCUUUGGACCCCUUCUCUACACCAAUGCUGUGUGACCUGAAGGGCUGGGGACAUGAAGGAGCAGCUCAGCUAAGGUGACCCAGAUGGUUGGGCUCGGAGCUGAAAGAACACUGUGGUCACCUACCUCCCAAUUCCUGCAUCUGUCCUGCUUGUAAGAGGCUUGCCAAGAACAGGAGCUCUUAUUUGUAGGUCUCUAGGGCUGGCCACCGCAGGGAGUGUGAUUUGAAGAUGGGUUCGGGGUGACAUUACAGGCCCCCUUUAGGCUCUGCUGGGUUGCAGUCCAGCUCUCUGGGCUGCCUUUCUGAUGGCUGCUAUUUUAAAGGCAGAUAGGAUGACAUUAGCAACUUUUAUCAUUCAACUAGCAAGGACUCAGGACGGGCAGCCCCCUUCUGGGAAUGUGCCUAACUCCUGCCCCAGAAUGGAGGAGUCUCUGUGGCUCUAGGGGAGCUGGCCUUCUAUGGAGUCUGAGCAAUGUACUGCACAGGGAGAAGACGCUGCCAGCUGAUACCAGUGUCUCUAUGCAGAGACAUUUCCAGGACACCACGUUAAGCAGCAGAGACACAAGAAGUCAAGGCCCAUGUGCUCUGGUGUGGACGUGUGCCUCCUGUGCCUCAGUGGCAUCAUCUGUACCAUGGGAGGUGUGUAAUGAGGGGUGCGAUCACGUCUGCAAGGGCACGUACAUAGUAGAUGCCCAGGAAGUGCCAGUCCCCAUCUCCUUCCCAGUUUCUUCAGAGCCUUCUGGAAGGCACUGGCAUAGCCCAGUCCUGAGGCAUUGCUUUUUCUUUCAUGGAUGAUCAGGAGCUUCUGUGAUUUCUUCCCCCUCACUCUUCAUUUUGCCAAGAUGUCGCCCAUAGUAACCUCAGCAGUGGAGCGGGGAUUCUGCACUGUUCCACUGCCCGGGGCUGCACAUCCACGUGAGCGGGGCCGACCGGUCCCAGAACGCUUUGCCCUCGGAAGGCAGCAUCACCUGCAGGGGCAAUGCUGUGGACAGCUCUGGCAUGUCCUCCAGGACCCUGGCAUGGUCGGUGAGAAAAGGCCCCCAGGCGUGGGCUUCUCCCAACAGUCAGGUUCAGAAGGCCUCCUGGGUGGCAAAAAUGACCUGGACACCUGCCCCUGGGCCUGGGCUGGACAUCGGUCCUUGGCAGAUGGGGAAGGUUGGUGACCAGCAAGGCACAGAAUAAGGACACAUGGUCCCAGCAGACCCUUGGGAUGACCUUGACCACUUGGACCUUGGAGAGAGGGGACAGGAGAACAGAGGGCAAUGCCACAUGGAGGGGAGGGUGCAGAUGGCUGGUGGCUGGAACUCCGGGAGGCUGAGCAGUGGGGGUGGCAGGAGAGAACUGGCUCCUUCUAGAUAGGGGAAUAUCGUGGUUAGGGUUCUGGGGUCAGAUUGGAUCUGGGCUCUGUCACCUACUAGCUGAGGAAUAAAUAAUCGAGCCUUGGGGCCGGGCGCGGUGGCUCAAGCCUGUAAUCCCAGCACUUUGGGAGGUCAAGGCGGACGGAUCACCUGAG
Long non-coding RNA from Cercocebus atys (sooty mangabey), 3074 nucleotides. RefSeq lists it as uncharacterized. The transcript is spliced from 5 exons. The record is from RefSeq and is a predicted model, not a curated record. NCBI's taxonomy places the organism in Eukaryota, Metazoa, Chordata, Mammalia, Primates, Cercopithecidae.